This is a long non-coding RNA of Drosophila subpulchrella, 691 nucleotides long. RefSeq lists it as uncharacterized. NCBI's taxonomy places the organism in Eukaryota, Metazoa, Arthropoda, Insecta, Diptera, Drosophilidae. The record is from RefSeq and is a predicted model, not a curated record. The transcript has 2 exons.
UUUUGGCACACGGAGCACACAUGCGGAAGAGCUUCGCCCGUGGUCAGAGGCGUUGAGUCCAGCGACUCCUCCAGGAAGUCCUCCUCCUCGCAGACAUCCUCUCCGUCCGGCAGCUGUGGGUAAGGAAUUAUGCUCUUCGCGCUCGUUCUCGUCUAGCUCGAUGGCCUCCUCCCCGAUUACCUCGUCUAUGGCUCCUUCAGCGGGUAUCACAAUCAUCUGGCCGUCCAGUAUCUCGUCGUGUGCUCCGGACUCUUCCAUUAUCUCGAUCUCAUCCUCCUCGGUGACGAUCGUUUCGAACUCAUCCUUAAUCGUCACGUACUCAACUUCAGCGGGCUGAAACUCAUGAACACUCUCCAUGGUGAUGUGCUCCUCCUGGCCGCCCGCCUGCUCAUGCUGUUGAUCCUCCUCCGUCAGCUCCUCCUCAUGAUCGGCCACUUCCUCGAUGACGAAUUCCUCCUCGUUUAUGUGCUCGUGAGGAUCGGCCUCAACUUCUUGUUCUUCCAACUACAAGAGAUCGAAGUCAUUAAGGGUAUUAUUUUAUAAUUGGCUGUUUAAUGUUAACUUAAUGCAAUGAUUAAGGAUCGUGUGUGAGACUUUUAUAUGGCAUUCUACCUGAAACUUGGCAAAAGCCCUUCGUUUUAUCAAAUGCAAUUAUAAAUUCAAAUGAAAAUAUCUUGGAAUUUGCAUAAAA